UCAGUCGGCUGGACGGCCGCUCCCGCAAGUGCCGAAAGGCCGCGGGAGAGGAAAGUCCGGGCUCCAUCGACAUGCGGUGCCGGAUAACAUCCGGCGGGGGCAACCCCAGGGAAAGUGCCACAGAGAACGAACCGCUCCCUCCUCGGAGGAAGUAAGGGUGAAAAGGUGCGGUAAGAGCGCACCGCGUUUCCGGCAACGGCGACGGCAUGGCAAACCCCACCGGGAGCAAAACCGAAUAGGGACGGCAACGCGGUCAGUUCGCGACAUCGCGAUAACACUGCAGGGCGAUGUCAGGCCCGCUGUCCGGGUAGGUUGCUUGAGGCGAGGUGCAAACCUUGUCCCAGAGGAAUGGCCGUCACGUACCAUUCGCGAGAAUGGUGCCCUACAGAACCCGGCUUACAGGCCGGCUGAUGCU
This 415-nucleotide RNase P RNA is filed under the name Bradyrhizobium sp. ISRA463. Its description in RNAcentral is "RNase P RNA component class A". It matches the Rfam family "Bacterial RNase P class A". Rfam says of the family: Ribonuclease P (RNase P) is a ubiquitous endoribonuclease, found in archaea, bacteria and eukarya as well as chloroplasts and mitochondria. Its best characterised activity is the generation of mature 5'-ends of tRNAs by cleaving the 5'-leader elements of precursor-tRNAs. RNAcentral also lists the same sequence under 1 other name. Lineage: Bacteria; Pseudomonadati; Pseudomonadota; Alphaproteobacteria; Hyphomicrobiales; Nitrobacteraceae. The record is from RNAcentral.